RNAcentral lists this ribosomal RNA (585 nucleotides) under uncultured bacterium. RNAcentral describes it as "bacterial SSU rRNA". It matches the Rfam family "Bacterial small subunit ribosomal RNA", at positions 339 to 915 of the family's 1533-position model. The record is from RNAcentral.
CUACGGGAGGCAGCAGUAGGGAAUCUUCCGCAAUGGACGAAAGUCUGACGGAGCAACGCCGCGUGAGUGAUGAAGGUUUUCGGAUCGUAAAGCUCUGUUGUUAGGGAAGAACAAGUGCGAGAGUAACUGCUCGCACCUUGACGGUACCUAACCAGAAAGCCACGGCUAACUACGUGCCAGCAGCCGCGGUAAUACGUAGGUGGCAAGCGUUGUCCGGAAUUAUUGGGCGUAAAGGGCUCGCAGGCGGUUUCUUAAGUCUGAUGUGAAAGCCCCCGGCUCAACCGGGGAGGGUCAUUGGAAACUGGGAAACUUGAGUGCAGAAGAGGAGAGUGGAAUUCCACGUGUAGCGGUGAAAUGCGUAGAGAUGUGGAGGAACACCAGUGGCGAAGGCGACUCUCUGGUCUGUAACUGACGCUGAGGAGCGAAAGCGUGGGGAGCGAACAGGAUUAGAUACCCUGGUAGUCCACGCCGUAAACGAUGAGUGCUAAGUGUUAGGGGGUUUCCGCCCCUUAGUGCUGCAGCUAACGCAUUAAGCACUCUGCCUGGGGAGUACGGUCGCAAGACUGAAACUCAAAGGAAUUGACG